RNAcentral lists this ribosomal RNA (642 nucleotides) under uncultured bacterium. RNAcentral's name for it is "bacterial SSU rRNA". It matches the Rfam family "Bacterial small subunit ribosomal RNA", at positions 524 to 1158 of the family's 1533-position model. The record is from RNAcentral.
UACAGAGGUGGCAAGCGUUGUUCGGUAUCACUGGGCUUAAAGGGCGCGUAGGCGGCAUGGCACGGUCCGGGUGAAAUCCCUCGGCUUAACCGAGGAACUGCCCGGGCUACGGCCAAGCUAGACGGCAUCAGGGGAAGGUGGAACUCCCGGUGGAGCGGUGAAAUGUGUAGAUAUCGGGAGGAACGCCGGUGGCGAAAGCGACCUUCUGGGGUGUCCGUGACGCUGAGGCGCGAAAGCUAGGGGAGCAAACGGGAUUAGAUACCCCGGUAGUCCUAGCCCUAAACGAUGUGCACUAGGUAGCGGGAUCCUCCGAGUUCCCGCUGCCGGAGCAAAAGUUUUAAGUGCACCGCCUGGGGAGUACGGUCGCAAGGCUAAAACUCAAAGGAAUUGACGGGGGCUCACACAAGCGGUGGAGGAUGUUGCUUAAUUCGAAGCAACGCGAAGAACCUUACCAGGGCUUGACAUAGUGGUAGUACGAACCUGAAAGGGUGAGGACCUUGCUUUGCAAGGAGCCAUUACAGGUGUUGCAUGGCUGUCGUCAGCUCGUGCCGUGAGGUGUUGGGUUAAGUCCCGUAACGAGCGAAACCCCUGCUACUAGUUGCCAGCGAGUUAUGUCGGGGACUCUAGUGGGACUGCCGGUGC